Cygnus olor (mute swan) is the source of this 3657-nucleotide long non-coding RNA. RefSeq lists it as uncharacterized. Lineage: Eukaryota; Metazoa; Chordata; Aves; Anseriformes; Anatidae. The transcript is spliced from 4 exons. The record is from RefSeq and is a predicted model, not a curated record.
CUUUGUGAACUACUUCAGCAGGCCAAGCCAAGCUGGUCUUCCAGCACCACGAAUUUAUGUCCUUACAGUGGCUUCCUGCCAGCAUCCUCUCUAUUGAACUGUAUUUACAUUAGCACUGUAAAACAUUACUUCAUUCAAGUGUCUGAAGUGAAGCACUCACUCCUUCCAUGCACUUAGUUCCUGAUUGUUGCCAGCUGGUGAGAAGUUAGCAGAUUGCUUUUCCCAGCUGGGCCCUGCCAUUCCUCCUAUAAUGAGAAUUAAAGAUAGUGGAUCACUGAGAUUAUUUAAGCUUUAGUUGCCCUUAGGUGGGGGUAAGUGCAAAAUAUUAGAUACUUCCUUCAGCUUAGGUUGAAAGAGGAAUCCUUCUGUUAGCUUCAGCAGACAUUGCCUUGGGUAUCCUUGGGUAUCAGUUCUUGAUGUCCUUGAGUCUACAUAGUGGGUCAUGGCUGGUCAGCAAUGAGGGAACAUUAAAGACUCUGGAAGUGCAUUUUGGCUCUGUCAAAGAAUGGUGAGACCAAAGCAGGAGGAGAACCUGAAGCACACCUUCCUUUCCCCGACACCCACAGGAGAAGCAGUGAGGAGGAGUCUUCUAUGGGGUGAAGAGUUGAGGGGACAGAAGGCCUCUUAUAAAUGCUGCUGGAGAUAGAAGAAAUAAAACCCAUUUGGCUCUGUCCUGAAAGAAUGUGAAGAGUAACCUGACCUAUAUGCAGACAGGUAUUCCCAGACUAACUAAAAAGGAAGUUACUUGACAAUUGUAGGCACAGUUCUGGGAAACCCAUGUGUCAGGUUCCACUUAGCCAGAGGCUUUGUGUGUGACCUGAAAGAUACCACUUGCCCUCUUUACACCUCAUUUUCCCAUCUAUAAAAUUUCUGACUCUUGUCUUGUCAAUAUAAUGUUAGUACUGCUAACAGGAACUCUCCCUUUCCUUGUCUGUUUAGAGAAUUCAGCAUAAUGCUACAGCUUAGUUGCAGUUUGCAGGCUCUGCUCUAAUAGAACUGAUAACUGUAAUAAGAAAACAUUUCAAAUUUUACUUCUGUUUAUGAUCACCAUUUGAAAACACUAAGUAUUUGUUCUUUGUUUGGGUGGGUGGUUUUACUUUUUUGUUUUGUUUUUAAUGUUGUCCUUUUAGGACUAUUUUAGGCUGGUACAGAGGACUAUGUCUUAAUUCUUUUCUUCCCCAAAUGAGCACAUACGUAUACUUUAUGGAAAAAAAAAAAAAUAUAUUUUCCACACCCAGCUCUUCAUAUAAGCGUCUUGUGCAUUCCAUGCAUGCCAGGUGAAGGAGUAAGACCCGCUGAAGCUCUCACUUGAGGCAGAGGCUUGCUUUGGUUAGGAGCCCACAUAAAAUGACUCAAAUCUUUUUUGAGAACUUUUGAAAUCUACAGAAAUUUGGCAGCUGAUCCAGAAUUGCUGGGAGAUGGCAGUACACCUGAACUGUUGAUACAGAAGCAAGUCACUGAUGCAUAUGCCUAAUUAGUGUAGAGCAAAAGAGGACCGUGGGACUGAGUAAGAUUUGCAGACUCCCUAAAUCUAAUCUAUUGCUGUCAUUAUCCGCUUGUUUUCCUAACGCUGCUCGUGGACUCCUCAAAUCCAUCUUAAAACAGCUGCUUACUACUUUUUGCUAUCACUACAGUUCAUUGACUUCACAGCAACAAUUUGAAGAACUUGGAAUCAGACUCCUCCUCCGCACUGAGGGUACUGAAACUCACCUGGACACUGUCUAAACAUGUGCCUCAAAUGAAACCUGUGCAUUAAUCAGUGAGUCCAGUUCUUCAAGAUAUGUAUGCACCUGACACGUUGUUGAAUUUGCAUCCUUUACUUAGACAUGCAGGCUCCCUUAUAACUGCUUCUGUAGGAGUUUUCAGAAUGUGAUUAGCACUCCUAGGGGUGGAAAGAGGUAGAGGAGGUCAUGAGAUGACAGCAAAGGGAUGGAAGUCCUCUGCAGCAUGAGAUGGUUUUGCUGCUGAGCAGUGGGCUGAAUUGCCCAUUCUCUAUGAUUAUGUAAUGAAAGACCCCAUUGUACAACGUGAUACACACAGGGGAAAGGGGCUAGAGCUGCUCUGGGAACCUUCAGCCUGAACUUCCUGACCUUUGCGCAAUUAAAAUUUCAGACAGCCUUGCAUGUACGCGUGCUUUUGGCACUGCAUUCUCGAGAGGGUGGCUGUUUUCAUUUCGGCCAAGAGACUUCAAAACAUUGUUGGAUAAAUAAAUGUAAAUCAGCUGCAGAUACCAUUGUGUGUGACUCUCACUCCCUAAAACUGCUGCGAAUACUAAACUGAGAGUCUGAGAGCUGUUUAUGUUAAUAAGGUAAUUUGAAAGGUGCUAGGGUGAGGUAAGGGAAAACAAAGAGAAGGAUCAGCAAAGUGCUUAUGAACCCUAGUCUGUUUUUCCUUUCACUGGCAGUGCAGCCAAGUGCUGCACAAAACAUAUGAUUGUUGCCCUCUUUAACUCCAGUUUUCCUCUGCAAAUUCCAAGCAGGCCUAACACUCCUGAUUGUUAAGCACAGCCCUGUGCACAGGCUGCCCAGCAGCUGCUUUUUCAGGUACAGCUCUCAGUCUCCUGUAACUUGUUAAUUACAUACUGCCUAUCUGAAUAUGCCAGAUGACUGUGUGAACUUUUUGUGACUUAAUAUUUACAGCACAUUAGCUCUUGCAAGCCCCAUCUGAGUUUGGACUGGAUAAUGCAGUAUAAUUUGUGCCGUAUAAUGUACAAGCCUGCCUUAGGGAUAGUAUCUUGGAGAGAUAUCUGAGCUAGCUGUAAGUAAACACAGUCCUAUAUAUGAAGGAGUCUCAUCUUCUCCGCAAGGUCAAUUAUCAGUUACCCCAGUAGAUUUCCACGCUAAGAAAGCUCAACUGUUUCUGAACUAAUUUUGGUGUCUGGACAGUGAAAGCAUACUCUGCUGGAGACAAGGCCUGAACCUGGGUUUCUCUACUGCCCUUCAUACACGUGCUUGUAAGAAAUGCACACCUUGUCUUCAUUAACUCCAAGGCACUUUCUUAAAGUUCUUGACAAUAUACGAGUGCAAAAAUAUGACAGUGGGAGAAACUAUAAUUUUCUGCCUCAGCAGUGCUAAAGACUUUAGUGUAAAUGGCGAUUAAGCUCUGAUUCUGGAUAAUACAGCACGAUCAGUGACACUAAGUCCUUGGAAUUUGUGGGGAUUUUCUUUUCUUUCCCCCAAAAGGAGAACAACCACCCUAACAGGUCACUGGCUUCUCAAAGGGGAAUAUUUCCAGAUGGAAAAUGGACUAAGCUCUGCUCGGAGGGAGGCCUUUCUGGUAUGGAAAGAAUGAAUAAGCUAUGGUACAUGUCUUCCAGUAUUUGGUAACUUUAGUAAAUUCCAAGCAAGCUGAGAGUUUUAUUCAUUGCAGCACAGGGCAAUGUACUCAUUCACUGGGUUCACCUUCACAUGCUUUUCUCCCCAGUCUCUAGAUGAGGAUAAGAAGAUUUAAAAAAAUAUUCUGGUUAUGAGUCAUCCAAGUGUCAUAAUCAAGACCUGGUAAUACCACAUAAUAUCAGUCUCAUGCAAGCUAUAACUCCCUCUGGGAUGCUGAGCCAUGCAGCGUUUCAGCGCUGUACACUUUCCUGUUUAAAUACAUUUUUGUGGCCCAGCUCAGGUCUAGACUACUGUAAUUCAAAAUCCAGAAAAUCUACUUAAU